RNAcentral lists this long non-coding RNA (414 nucleotides) under Ananas comosus (pineapple). RNAcentral's name for it is "long non-coding RNA (ACOM_LNC003882)". The record is from RNAcentral. Lineage: Eukaryota; Viridiplantae; Streptophyta; Magnoliopsida; Poales; Bromeliaceae.
AACCCUAACUGUUAGCCUUCUCCUUAGCCAAACUAACCUUAGCCGACCCCUCUGCCAUCACCUGAACCCCUCCCCGACACCACCGCGCGCGUCACGGCCGCCGGUGAGCAGCCCCGGCCGCCGGAAAAGCCAUCCCGACCUUACAUUCACCUUCCUCUCUCUCCAUCUUCCUCCCUCAUCCUCUUUCUCUCGGGUUAGAGCUAGGCCGAGGCUACAUCACCUCCAGACCCUUCGCCGGCAUCGCCCCGUGCCCCGGCGAGCCUUCCCGCCGGCCGUCGCCGCCUUUCUGCGCCGCCGCUGCUGGUUCUGCAGCAUGCGACUACCCCAGCCCGAACCCAGGCCGAGGCAGCCCCAUCUCCCUCUCCUCGCACCACUGCUGCCAUAGCUCGGCAGCGCCGCCAUCUCCGGAGCCCC